This 138-nucleotide ribosomal RNA is filed under the name uncultured eukaryote. RNAcentral's name for it is "partial 18S ribosomal RNA". It matches the Rfam family "Eukaryotic small subunit ribosomal RNA", at positions 1299 to 1458 of the family's 1831-position model. The record is from RNAcentral.
UGGUGGGUUGCCUUGUCAGGUUGAUUCCGGUAACGAACGAGACCUCGGCCUGCUAACUAGUCACGCCUUCUCCGGAAGGCGGCGGACUUCUUAGAGGGACUAUUGGCGAUUAGCCAAUGGAAGCAUGAGGCAAUAACA